UACGUAGGGUGCAAGCGUUGUCCGGAAUCAUUGGGCGUAAAGAGCUCGUAGGCGGUUUGUCGCGUCUGCUGUGAAAACCCGAGGCUCAACCUCGGGCCUGCAGUGGGUACGGGCAGACUAGAGUGCGGUAGGGGAGAUUGGAAUUCCUGGUGUAGCGGUGGAAUGCGCAGAUAUCAGGAGGAACACCAAUGGCGAAGGCAGAUCUCUGGGCCGUAACUGACGCUGAGGAGCGAAAGCAUGGGGAGCGAACAGG
This 253-nucleotide ribosomal RNA is filed under the name uncultured bacterium. Its description in RNAcentral is "partial 16S ribosomal RNA". It matches the Rfam family "Bacterial small subunit ribosomal RNA", at positions 524 to 776 of the family's 1533-position model. The record is from RNAcentral.